RNAcentral lists this ribosomal RNA (2930 nucleotides) under Escherichia coli. RNAcentral describes it as "23S ribosomal RNA". It matches the Rfam family "Bacterial large subunit ribosomal RNA". Lineage: Bacteria; Pseudomonadati; Pseudomonadota; Gammaproteobacteria; Enterobacterales; Enterobacteriaceae. The record is from RNAcentral.
GGGUUGUGAGGUUAAGCGACUAAGCGUACACGGUGGAUGCCCUGGCAGUCAGAGGCGAUGAAGGACGUGCUAAUCUGCGAUAAGCGUCGGUAAGGUGAUAUGAACCGUUAUAACCGGCGAUUUCCGAAUGGGGAAACCCAGUGUGUUUCGACACACUAUCAUUAACUGAAUCCAUAGGUUAAUGAGGCGAACCGGGGGAACUGAAACAUCUAAGUACCCCGAGGAAAAGAAAUCAACCGAGAUUCCCCCAGUAGCGGCGAGCGAACGGGGAGCAGCCCAGAGCCUGAAUCAGUGUGUGUGUUAGUGGAAGCGUCUGGAAAGGCGCGCGAUACAGGGUGACAGCCCCGUACACAAAAAUGCACAUACUGUGAGCUCGAUGAGUAGGGCGGGACACGUGGUAUCCUGUCUGAAUAUGGGGGGACCAUCCUCCAAGGCUAAAUACUCCUGACUGACCGAUAGUGAACCAGUACCGUGAGGGAAAGGCGAAAAGAACCCCGGCGAGGGGAGUGAAAAAGAACCUGAAACCGUGUACGUACAAGCAGUGGGAGCACGCUUAGGCGUGUGACUGCGUACCUUUUGUAUAAUGGGUCAGCGACUUAUAUUCUGUAGCAAGGUUAACCGAAUAGGGGAGCCGAAGGGAAACCGAGUCUUAACUGGGCGUUAAGUUGCAGGGUAUAGACCCGAAACCCGGUGAUCUAGCCAUGGGCAGGUUGAAGGUUGGGUAACACUAACUGGAGGACCGAACCGACUAAUGUUGAAAAAUUAGCGGAUGACUUGUGGCUGGGGGUGAAAGGCCAAUCAAACCGGGAGAUAGCUGGUUCUCCCCGAAAGCUAUUUAGGUAGCGCCUCGUGAAUUCAUCUCCGGGGGUAGAGCACUGUUUCGGCAAGGGGGUCAUCCCGACUUACCAACCCGAUGCAAACUGCGAAUACCGGAGAAUGUUAUCACGGGAGACACACGGCGGGUGCUAACGUCCGUCGUGAAGAGGGAAACAACCCAGACCGCCAGCUAAGGUCCCAAAGUCAUGGUUAAGUGGGAAACGAUGUGGGAAGGCCCAGACAGCCAGGAUGUUGGCUUAGAAGCAGCCAUCAUUUAAAGAAAGCGUAAUAGCUCACUGGUCGAGUCGGCCUGCGCGGAAGAUGUAACGGGGCUAAACCAUGCACCGAAGCUGCGGCAGCGACGCUGAUGCGUUGUUGGGUAGGGGAGCGUUCUGUAAGCCUGCGAAGGUGUGCUGUGAGGCAUGCUGGAGGUAUCAGAAGUGCGAAUGCUGACAUAAGUAACGAUAAAGCGGGUGAAAAGCCCGCUCGCCGGAAGACCAAGGGUUCCUGUCCAACGUUAAUCGGGGCAGGGUGAGUCGACCCCUAAGGCGAGGCCGAAAGGCGUAGUCGAUGGGAAACAGGUUAAUAUUCCUGUACUUGGUGUUACUGCGAAGGGGGGACGGAGAAGGCUAUGUUGGCCGGGCGACGGUUGUCCCGGUUUAAGCGUGUAGGCUGGUUUUCCAGGCAAAUCCGGAAAAUCAAGGCUGAGGCGUGAUGACGAGGCACUACGGUGCUGAAGCAACAAAUGCCCUGCUUCCAGGAAAAGCCUCUAAGCAUCAGGUAACAUCAAAUCGUACCCCAAACCGACACAGGUGGUCAGGUAGAGAAUACCAAGGCGCUUGAGAGAACUCGGGUGAAGGAACUAGGCAAAAUGGUGCCGUAACUUCGGGAGAAGGCACGCUGAUAUGUAGGUGAAGUCCCUCGCGGAUGGAGCUGAAAUCAGUCGAAGAUACCAGCUGGCUGCAACUGUUUAUUAAAAACACAGCACUGUGCAAACACGAAAGUGGACGUAUACGGUGUGACGCCUGCCCGGUGCCGGAAGGUUAAUUGAUGGGGUCAGCGCAAGCGAAGCUCUUGAUCGAAGCCCCGGUAAACGGCGGCCGUAACUAUAACGGUCCUAAGGUAGCGAAAUUCCUUGUCGGGUAAGUUCCGACCUGCACGAAUGGCGUAAUGAUGGCCAGGCUGUCUCCACCCGAGACUCAGUGAAAUUGAACUCGCUGUGAAGAUGCAGUGUACCCGCGGCAAGACGGAAAGACCCCGUGAACCUUUACUAUAGCUUGACACUGAACAUUGAGCCUUGAUGUGUAGGAUAGGUGGGAGGCUUUGAAGUGUGGACGCCAGUCUGCAUGGAGCCGACCUUGAAAUACCACCCUUUAAUGUUUGAUGUUCUAACGUUGACCCGUAAUCCGGGUUGCGGACAGUGUCUGGUGGGUAGUUUGACUGGGGCGGUCUCCUCCUAAAGAGUAACGGAGGAGCACGAAGGUUGGCUAAUCCUGGUCGGACAUCAGGAGGUUAGUGCAAUGGCAUAAGCCAGCUUGACUGCGAGCGUGACGGCGCGAGCAGGUGCGAAAGCAGGUCAUAGUGAUCCGGUGGUUCUGAAUGGAAGGGCCAUCGCUCAACGGAUAAAAGGUACUCCGGGGAUAACAGGCUGAUACCGCCCAAGAGUUCAUAUCGACGGCGGUGUUUGGCACCUCGAUGUCGGCUCAUCACAUCCUGGGGCUGAAGUAGGUCCCAAGGGUAUGGCUGUUCGCCAUUUAAAGUGGUACGCGAGCUGGGUUUAGAACGUCGUGAGACAGUUCGGUCCCUAUCUGCCGUGGGCGCUGGAGAACUGAGGGGGGCUGCUCCUAGUACGAGAGGACCGGAGUGGACGCAUCACUGGUGUUCGGGUUGUCAUGCCAAUGGCACUGCCCGGUAGCUAAAUGCGGAAGAGAUAAGUGCUGAAAGCAUCUAAGCACGAAACUUGCCCCGAGAUGAGUUCUCCCUGACUCCUUGAGAGUCCUGAAGGAACGUUGAAGACGACGACGUUGAUAGGCCGGGUGUGUAAGCGCAGCGAUGCGUUGAGCUAACCGGUACUAAUGAACCGUGAGGCUUAACCUUACAACGCCGAAGCUGUU